This 102-nucleotide non-coding RNA is filed under the name Tsukamurella paurometabola. RNAcentral describes it as "Glycine sequence". It matches the Rfam family "Glycine riboswitch aptamer". From Rfam's summary of the family: This family represents the bacterial glycine riboswitch. Glycine riboswitches usually consist of two metabolite-binding aptamers domains with similar structures in tandem. The record is from RNAcentral. RNAcentral also lists the same sequence under 1 other name. Lineage: Bacteria; Bacillati; Actinomycetota; Actinomycetes; Mycobacteriales; Tsukamurellaceae.
CAACACCGCGUGGGAGAGCCCAGCGGGCCGGUCGAGCCCGCAGGCGCCGAAGGAGCAACACCUCUCCGUCAAUCUCUCAGGCAACAGGACCAUGCGGGUUGG